GUGCUCGCUUUGGCAGCACAUAUGCUAAAAUUGGAACAAUACAGAGAAGAUUAGCAUGGGCCCUGAGCAAGGAUGACACGCAAAUUCGUUCCAUAUUUUU
Small nuclear RNA from Cervus hanglu yarkandensis (Yarkand deer), 100 nucleotides. The record is from Ensembl. Lineage: Eukaryota; Metazoa; Chordata; Mammalia; Artiodactyla; Cervidae.